This 2162-nucleotide long non-coding RNA is filed under the name Chlamydomonas reinhardtii. RNAcentral describes it as "long non-coding RNA (CREI_LNC001252)". The record is from RNAcentral. Lineage: Eukaryota; Viridiplantae; Chlorophyta; Chlorophyceae; Chlamydomonadales; Chlamydomonadaceae.
ACCUAUUAUGAGUCGGUCGAGCUUGUCUGGCGCGAUGGGGCCAAUGCCAGUCGUGCGCCUGGCCGCCUGCGCUGCCCCCCCCCCCCCCCCCCAAAACACGUGCACUCCGAUUCUAAUCCGCUCGCCAGAUGCAAGUUGUCCGGCCCCCCUCCAUCAGCGCCACGGCUCACCCCUGAGCUAUGCCCUUGCAUAAUUACUAACAUGAUAUGCAUGCAGAUUUGGGGCCCAGCCUAGUUCGGGCCAGGUUGGGCAUACGGUACUGCAGCUGCCCAGCAGGAUUCAGCCGUUCCACAGUUGAACAGCAAGCCGAACGUCCGAAACCCCUGCAACUGCUAACCUUAAUGAUUUGGCCUAUCAGACCCAACACGUACAGGGUCCGCCCUUGCAGUUGCCGCAUGGUUCUGGCACCAGGUACACGAUGCACUGCCUGAUUGCUAACGCCCACAUCCUCUCACUGCCUGCGCGCUACUAGCUUGCUCCUCUGCUCGGUAGACUUGCCAAUGUAAACGUGCUUGUUAAUACACAACCGUAGACGUCAAUACGCUCUCAAGUCCUACCCACGAUCACCAACCUUCACAGCCCAUCUUAGCUAGCAUUCGUCCUCGAUAGCUCCUGUGGCCACUGCUGCGCACGCGCACUCCAGUGUCCGAUGCAAGCCCUUAGCUCUNNNNNNNNNNNNNNNNNNNNNNNNNNNNNNNNNNNNNNNNNNNNNNNNNNNNNNNNNNNNNNNNNNNNNNNNNNNNNNNNNNNNNNNNNNNNNNNNNNNNUGUUACGCAAUUGGAAAGGAUUGGGAGCAAUCCCAGCCAUUGGAACAGCUUUGAGAAGACAAAAGGGGGGCUCCAGGGACGGACAACGUUUGUUUGUGAAAGAAAUUGCAAGCUUCGCUCGCAUAGGGGCGGUAGGUAUACCCGUAGUAGAGCCAAUCCUUAAUACAUAAUAUGCAUCCUGGGGCAGUUGCUUGGACUAUACCUCGCCCCCGAGUGCGCUUUGUAGGGACGACUUUUCAAAGUCAUAGUUUUGUGCCACCGGCCCAACCCGGGCCGGGGGCUCAGUCAUUUUUUAGGGGGCCGGGGAAAGAAGUCCCGCGCCUUUACGCAGGGUAGUCCAUUUUUUCCAGUUUCAGCGCCCAGCCUGUUGGGGGGGCGGGGGAUACUUUAAGCAAGAAAUAUCCCUUGUCAACUAGAUAGUACAAAAUGCUAGACAAUUCCUAGGAAGAAGGGGGGGGCUCCCUUUUUAAAUGAGCCCCAGAGCCAUGGGGGGGGGGGCAGGCUUACAUAAGCAGUUUGCCCCAGUUAUGGGGGAAGCCCCUAUUAUGAGUCGGUCGAGCUUUUUUGGCGCGAUGGGGCCAAUCCCAGUUGUGCGCCUGGCCGCCUGGGUUGCCCCCCCCCCCCCCCCCCAAAACACGUGCACUCCGAUUCUAAUCCGCUCGCCAGAUGCAAGUUGUCCGGCCCCCCUCCAUCAGCGCCACGGCUCACCCCUGAGCUAUGCCCUUGCAUAAUUACUAACAUGAUAUGCAUGCAGAUUUGGGGCCCAGCCUAGUUCGGGCCAGGUUGGGCAUACGGUACUGCAGCUGCCCAGCAGGAUUCAGCCGUUCCACAGUUGAACAGCAAGCCGAACGUCCGAAACCCCUGCAACUGCUAACCUUAAUGAUUUGGCCUAUCAGACCCAACACGUACAGGGUCCGCCCUUGCAGUUGCCGCAUGGUUCUGGCACCAGGUACACGAUGCACUGCCUGAUUGCUAACGCCCACAUCCUCUCACUGCCUGCGCGCUACUAGCUUGCUCCUCUGCUCGGUAGACUUGCCAAUGUAAACGUGCUUGUUAAUACACAACCGUAGACGUCAAUACGCUCUCAAGUCCUACCCACGAUCACCAACCUUCACAGCCCAUCUUAGCUAGCAUUCGUCCUCGAUAGCUCCUGUGGCCACUGCUGCGCACGCGCACUCCAGUGUCCGAUGCAAGCCCUUAGCUCUACAAGAAGGUGGUGUUUACUCCAGCUCGAAGUUAAGGCCACGCACGUACAUUACCAUGUCCUCCGAGUAUCCCGGCCCGCCGUUCAUGGGCCGGAUAUCGCGCAGCGACUGGAGCACCUGUGCGAUGCACGGCAAGCACCGUUUUGGGAGGGCAGGGCAGCAGGUUACCGUACAAGUGCGAAAGCCAUUG